Molecule: ribosomal RNA, 253 nt
Filed under: uncultured bacterium
Lineage: Bacteria
Description: partial 16S ribosomal RNA
Rfam family: Bacterial small subunit ribosomal RNA
Source: RNAcentral
GACAGAGGGUGCAAACGUUGUUCGGAAUUACUGGGCGUAAAGCGCGUGUAGGCGGCUAUGCAAGUCGGACGUGAAAUCCCACGGCUCAACCGUGGAAGUGCGCUCGAAACUGCGUAGCUAGAGUCCUGGAGAGGAAGGUGGAAUGCUUGGUGUAGAGGUGAAAUUCGUAGAUAUCAAGCGGAGCACCGGUGGCGAAGGCGGCCUUCUGGACAGUGACUGACGCUGAGACGCGAAAGCGUGGGGAGCAAACAGG